UAGUGAUUUUCUGGUUGAUCCUGCCGGAGGUUACUGCUAUCGAGGUUCGACUAAGCCAUGCGAGUUGAAUGUAGCAAUACAUGGCGUACUGCUCAGUAACACGUGGAUAACCUACCCUUGAGACGGGGAUAAACCCGGGAAACUGGGUAUAAUACCCGAUAGAUCUCGACUGCUGGAAUGCAUCGAGCUUGAAAGCUCCGGCGCUCAAGGAUGGGUCUGCGGCCUAUCAGGUAGUAGUGGGUGUAGCGUACCUACUAGCCUACGACGGGUACGGGUUGUGAGAGCAAGAGCCCGGAGAUGGAUUCUGAGACACGAAUCCAGGCCCUACGGGGUGCAGCAGGCGCGAAAACUUUACAAUGCUGGAAACAGCGAUAAGGGGACCUCGAGUGCCAGGUUACAAAUCUGGCUGUCGUGAUGCCUAAAAAGCAUUGCAUAGCAAGGGCCGGGCAAGACCGGUGCCAGCCGCCGCGGUAACACCGGCGGCUCGAGUGGUAACCGUUAUUAUUGGGUCUAAAGGGUCUGUAGCCGGCCGGACAAGUCUCUUGGGAAAUCUGGCAGCUUAACUGUCAGGCUUUCAGGAGAUACUGUCUGGCUCGAGGCCGGGAGAGGUGAGAGGUACUUCAGGGGUAGGGGUGAAAUCUUGUAAUCCUUGAAGGACCACCAGUGGCGAAGGCGUCUCACCAGAACGGACCUGACGGCAAGGGACGAAAGCUAGGGGCACGAACCGGAUUAGAUACCCGGGUAGUCCUAGCCGUAAACGAUACUCGCUAGGUGUCCGGAACGGUGCGACCGUUGUCCGUGCCCGUAAGGAAGCGUGAAGCGAGCCACCUGGGAAGUACGGUCGCAAGACUGAAAACUUAUAGGAAUUGUCGGGGAACACAAUC
Molecule: ribosomal RNA, 884 nt
Filed under: uncultured archaeon
Lineage: Archaea
Description: bacterial SSU rRNA
Rfam family: Archaeal small subunit ribosomal RNA
Source: RNAcentral